UAUGUACGUAUGUAUGAUGCACGUACGUAUAUAUGUGUGUAUAUGUAAAUAAUCGAUUGUGACAUACAAGAGUCGAUAACAGGUUAACGUUAACAAGUAUAUCAGAGUAAUCUACGGAAUUUAUACUUGUGUAUUGCUCUAGUUGGAAACCAGCCAAGAACGAACAUGACUGUGUGUUCCUUCUUCUCCACCUUCUUCUUCUUCUUUUAGUUGUUUGAAUGUGUGGCCGCGACCUUGAGGUCGAAGACGCCUGUUACCAACUACGUGAAGUUAGCUCUAACGAAAAUUACAGGUUUACUGAGGAAGACACGUAAAAAAAAUCAAUGCUUUUCCAUUUAUGAUGCCAGGGAGGUGUGGGGUGAGGGAUGGGGCGAUGUGAUUGAUCAGGCAGUGUAAAGACCCGUGCGUUUAUUCAGAAAAAAAAAAAAAAAAAAAAAGAAGAUCAUCAUUAUUAUGAUAAUUCAUAAAUUGAUCGAUUUAAAUAGUGUUACGUACACGUAUUGUGUAUUGUAAAUGUGUUUUAUAGAGAAAGGAAAUGUUAUAAAAAAAAAAAAAAAAAAAAAAAAAACAAAACAAAACAAAAAAGAAACAAAAAGAAAGAAAAAAGACAGGAAAGGAAAAAGAAAGAAAAAAAAAAAAAGUAAGAAAGAGAAAAAACGAGCGAUAGAAAGAUUCAACGAACAGCCAACUGUUCUUUACUCACCCACAUAUCGUUAAACACAAAUCGAUGCUGACACACAUUUUCUUGUACGACGUAAUGUAUGUCGCGCGUAUCUCGUCGGAAGAUGAAAUUAUGUAAAUAAAAUUAUAAUAAACAUGUUAUAUUAAUUUCGAUCUAUUCGA
Long non-coding RNA from Vespa velutina, 843 nucleotides. RefSeq lists it as uncharacterized. The record is from RefSeq and is a predicted model, not a curated record. Lineage: Eukaryota; Metazoa; Arthropoda; Insecta; Hymenoptera; Vespidae. The transcript has 3 exons.